This 1096-nucleotide long non-coding RNA is filed under the name Gossypium barbadense (sea-island cotton). Its description in RNAcentral is "long non-coding RNA (GBAR_LNC011643)". The record is from RNAcentral. Lineage: Eukaryota; Viridiplantae; Streptophyta; Magnoliopsida; Malvales; Malvaceae.
CUUUCAUUUUGAAAAAAAAUUCAGAAGCCCUCUCACACUCUCUCUCGUGCUCCCUGGUCCGAUCAAGGACCACCGCGUCGGCCACCGUGCCUCUGUUGUGGGUGGUGGUCCGAGUCGCGUAAAAAUGGGUUUUUUAACCCCUUUUUGAAACCCUUCAAAGGCCAAGCCCCCAAAACUAAGAGAUGGCUCUCAACCCCUUUUUGGGUUCGAUUUCGACGAUGGAGAAGGGUCCCUCCUGCGUCGCGACCGCGGGGAAUCCGGUAAUCCUCUCCCUCUUCCUUUUUUAUUUGAAAUAGAUUUGAAACAAAAAAUAUGAAAAAGAUCAAAAGGAAAAAAAGAAAAGAGAAGCAAAUCCAAAAUCAACCCCUUUUUUUUAUUUUUGCUUUUGAUUGCUCGAUAUCCGUCUCUGUUAAAAUUACAUUUCUUUUGUCUCUGGCUAUAUAGCCUAAAUUGAUACAUGCUUUUUUCUUUUGUUUGUUGGUUUCUCUGCUGCCCUCUUCGUACUGCUUCCGUUUUUUCUUCUUGCUAUGUUUGUAGGUGUCAGGAGAGUCAAAGCGAUGGGACGGGCCGUCGAGCCUCGAGCGUUGGAGGCACUAACAAUGCACAUGGAAGAGUAAGAGGAGCGGCGCCUAAGCUUUCAGAAACCCUAGGGUUUCUUCCGAGAGUGUUAAAACAUUUUAGGCCAUAAUUUGGUCCUCAUUUUGGGCUUAUGGAUUUGGGUCAAGUUGUAAAUGGACUAGAAUAUUUGGAUUCUUUUUUAUUUUUGUUUUUUUUAUUUGUUUGGUUUGUUUGUUGUUUAGUGGGCUCGGGCAAAUUUGGGCAUUUACAAAAUGAAUUGUUUGCACUCAAACCAAACCCAUAAGGAAAAGCUAAAUGCCAUACAAAACAUAUAGGUCUCUUAUAUAAGGAUUAUAUUUCAACAGCCGUCCAUUUUUAUCACUAGAACUUAUAAGAAAGUUAGCAUCCCUGCACAAUUAAAGAAUUCGUUAUGAAAAAUUUCUAUAUAAAUUAUUUAUAUAUAAAUUCCCCUAUUAAUUAUUUAUAUGUAAAUCCCCUUAAAUAGAAUCAAUGAUUAAUGAUAAUUUAGAAGCAAAAA